This 301-nucleotide ribosomal RNA is filed under the name uncultured bacterium. Its description in RNAcentral is "partial 16S ribosomal RNA". It matches the Rfam family "Bacterial small subunit ribosomal RNA", at positions 509 to 807 of the family's 1533-position model. The record is from RNAcentral.
CAGUAGCCGCGGUAAUACGUAGGUGGCAAGCGUUGUCCGGAAUUAUUGGGCGUAAAGGGCUCGCAGGCGGUUUCUUAAGUCUGAUGUGAAAGCCCCCGGCUCAACCGGGGAGGGUCAUUGGAAACUGGGAAACUUGAGUGCAGAAGAGGAGAGUGGAAUUCCACGUGUAGCGGUGAAAUGCGUAGAGAUGUGGAGGAACACCAGUGGCGAAGGCGAUUCUCUGGUCUGUAACUGACGCUGAGGAGCGAAAGCGUGGGGAGCGAACAGGAUUAGAUGCCCCUGUAGUCCCUGUCUCUUAUAC